This 1362-nucleotide ribosomal RNA is filed under the name Aspergillus fumigatus. RNAcentral's name for it is "partial small subunit ribosomal RNA". It matches the Rfam family "Eukaryotic small subunit ribosomal RNA", at positions 46 to 1415 of the family's 1831-position model. The record is from RNAcentral. Lineage: Eukaryota; Fungi; Ascomycota; Eurotiomycetes; Eurotiales; Aspergillaceae.
AGGUCUGCAUGUCUAGUAUAAGCAUUUAUACGGUGAAACUGCGAAUGGCUCAUUAAAUCAGUUAUCGUUUAUUUGAUAGUACCUUACUACAUGGAUACCUGUGGUAAUUCUAGAGCUAAUACAUGCUAAAAACCUCGACUUCGGAAGGGGUGUAUUUAUUAGAUAAAAAACCAAUGCCCUUCGGGGCUCCUUGGUGAAUCAUAAUAACUUAACGAAUCGCAUGGCCUUGCGCCGGCGAUGGUUCAUUCAAAUUUCUGCCCUAUCAACUUUCGAUGGUAGGAUAGUGGCCUACCAUGGUGGCAACGGGUAACGGGGAAUUAGGGUUCGAUUCCGGAGAGGGAGCCUGAGAAACGGCUACCACAUCCAAGGAAGGCAGCAGGCGCGCAAAUUACCCAAUCCCGACACGGGGAGGUAGUGACAAUAAAUACUGAUACGGGGCUCUUUUGGGUCUCGUAAUUGGAAUGAGUACAAUCUAAAUCCCUUAACGAGGAACAAUUGGAGGGCAAGUCUGGUGCCAGCAGCCGCGGUAAUUCCAGCUCCAAUAGCGUAUAUUAAAGUUGUUGCAGUUAAAAAGCUCGUAGUUGAACCUUGGGUCUGGCUGGCCGGUCCGCCUCACCGCGAGUACUGGUCCGGCUGGACCUUUCCUUCUGGGGAACCUCAUGGCCUUCACUGGCUGUGGGGGGAACCAGGACUUUUACUGUGAAAAAAUUAGAGUGUUCAAAGCAGGCCUUUGCUCGAAUACAUUAGCAUGGAAUAAUAGAAUAGGACGUGCGGUUCUAUUUUGUUGGUUUCUAGGACCGCCGUAAUGAUUAAUAGGGAUAGUCGGGGGCGUCAGUAUUCAGCUGUCAGAGGUGAAAUUCUUGGAUUUGCUGAAGACUAACUACUGCGAAAGCAUUCGCCAAGGAUGUUUUCAUUAAUCAGGGAACGAAAGUUAGGGGAUCGAAGACGAUCAGAUACCGUCGUAGUCUUAACCAUAAACUAUGCCGACUAGGGAUCGGGCGGUGUUUCUAUGAUGACCCGCUCGGCACUUACAAGAAUCAAAGUUUUUGGGUCCUGGGGGGAGUAUGGUCGCAAGGUGAAACUUAAGAAAUUGACGGAAGGGCCCACAAGGCGUGGAGCCGGGGGUUAUUUUAUCCACCCGGGGAAAUCCCCGGCCGAAAAAAAAAGAUGGACGAAUGGAAGCCUUCUUAUUUUUGUAAGGGGGGCGGGCGCCCUCUUUUGGGGGGGGAUGUUGUUGUCUUGUUAAUAAAAGAAAACCGCCCUUAAAAACAGGCGCCUUUUGGGCGGGGGUUUUUUGGGGAAAGGCCCCCCCCAAAAGGGGGGAAAAAAGUUUGGUUUUUUAUUUUUGCCCCCCCCCCAGGC